RNAcentral lists this ribosomal RNA (490 nucleotides) under uncultured bacterium. RNAcentral describes it as "partial 16S ribosomal RNA". It matches the Rfam family "Bacterial small subunit ribosomal RNA", at positions 29 to 507 of the family's 1533-position model. The record is from RNAcentral.
AGUGAACGCUGGCGGCAGGCCUAACACAUGCAAGUCGAACGGCAGCACAAGAGAGCUUGCUCUCUGGGUGGCGAGUGGCGGACGGGUGAGGAAUGCAUCGGAAUCUGCCCAUUUGUGGGGGAUAACCUCGGGAAACCGGGACUAAUACCGCAUACGACCUACGGGUGAAAGCAGGGGAUCUUCGGACCUUGCGCAGAUGGAUGAGCCGAUGCCGGAUUAGCUAGUUGGAGGGGUAAAGGCCCACCAAGGCGACGAUCCGUAGCUGGUCUGAGAGGAUGAUCAGCCACACUGGGUCUGAGACACGGCCCAGACUCCUACGGGAGGCAGCAGUGGGGAAUAUUGGACAAUGGGCGCAAGCCUGAUCCAGCCAUGCCGCGUGUGUGAAGAAGGCCUUCGGGUUGUAAAGCACUUUUGUUGGGAAAGAAAAGCAGCCGGUUAAUACCCGGUUGUCAUGACGGUACCCAAAGAAUAAGCACCGGCUAACUUCGUG